RNAcentral lists this ribosomal RNA (253 nucleotides) under uncultured bacterium. RNAcentral's name for it is "partial 16S ribosomal RNA". It matches the Rfam family "Bacterial small subunit ribosomal RNA", at positions 524 to 776 of the family's 1533-position model. The record is from RNAcentral.
UACGAAGGGGGCUAGCGUUGCUCGGAAUCACUGGGCGUAAAGGGUGCGUAGGCGGGUUUUUAAGUCCGGGGUGAAAUCCUGGAGCUCAACUCCAGAACUGCCUUUGAUACUGAAGAUCUUGAGUUCGGGAGAGGUGAGUGGAACUGCGAGUGUAGAGGUGAAAUUCGUAGAUAUUCGCAAGAACACCAGUGGCGAAGGCGGCUCACUGGCCCGAUACUGACGCUGAGGCGCGAAGGCGUGGGGAGCAAACAGG